UAGUGACGCGCAUGAAUGGAUUAACGAGAUUCCCUCUGUCCCUAUCUACUGUCUAGCGAACCUACAGGCAGGGGAACGGGCCUGCGAAACACUGCGGGGAAAGAAGACCCUGUUGAGCUUGACUUUAGUUUGGCAUUGUGGAGAGACAUGAGAGGUGUAGCAUAAGUGGGAGGCCGGGAUGGUCGUCUCUCCGUUUUCUAAACGGUUGGCGGUUCCCGAAACCCGAGCCGAAAGUGAAAUACCACUACUGUCAUCGUUUCUCCACUAACUCGGUGAAACGGAACGUAUGUCGCCGGAGUCUACGCUCGCUCUCUCCCGAAAGGGUGCAGUAGGGGCUAAGCUCCGGCGUCGAUAUUCUAGCAUCAAGCGGCGUGCCCCCUUCCCCUUCCUCCUUCCGUGCGGCAUCGUCGCAUCCAUGGCGAGGAAGCGCGACGGGCGCGGGCUACAAGGGUUUUCGCGGGGCAGUCGGAGGCUUCGGCCUCCUCUAUCCCCGAUCAUUCCUUUAUCCUUAGCGCCCCGAGCGACUUCUCGUUUAUCGGGUCGGCGACUCGCCCUCGUUGGAGUGGGAGGCGUUUGGGAGCCGCGAGCCGGUCCGAGGACAGUGUCAGGCGGGAAGUUUGACUGGGGCGGUACAUCUGCCAAACGAUAACGCAGGUGUCCCAAGGCCAGCUCAGCGUGGACAGAAACCUCGCGUAGAGCAAAAGGGCAAAUGCUGGCUUGAUCCGGAUUUUCAGUACGAAUACGGACCGCGAAAGCGUGGCCUAUCGAUCCUUUUGAUUCUCUCUAGAGUUUUGA
Molecule: ribosomal RNA, 795 nt
Filed under: Colubotelson sp.
Lineage: Eukaryota; Metazoa; Arthropoda; Malacostraca; Isopoda; Phreatoicidae
Description: partial large subunit ribosomal RNA
Rfam family: Eukaryotic large subunit ribosomal RNA
Source: RNAcentral